This is a long non-coding RNA of Lagopus leucura (white-tailed ptarmigan), 154 nucleotides long. RefSeq lists it as uncharacterized. The record is from RefSeq and is a predicted model, not a curated record. NCBI's taxonomy places the organism in Eukaryota, Metazoa, Chordata, Aves, Galliformes, Phasianidae. The transcript has 3 exons.
CUCAGAGUUAAGGGACAACAGCAGCAUGAAAUACAGUUCGAAUGCAUCGGCUCUUCUUCUGUGAGGACACAAGCAUAUUGGAAGCCACUCCUCACCUGAGCGCUCCCCAGCACAGAGGUGGGUUAGGUGAUUUUUCCCCGAGGGAGCUUAUGAG